Molecule: long non-coding RNA, 546 nt
Organism: Ictidomys tridecemlineatus (thirteen-lined ground squirrel)
Lineage: Eukaryota; Metazoa; Chordata; Mammalia; Rodentia; Sciuridae
Source: RefSeq, a predicted model, not a curated record
UCCUUUGGUCCAGGAGGGAGAUAGAGGAGGACAGCCUCAGCUGUACGGGGAAUCACUUGGAUACCUUCUAGAAAGUUCAGAGCCCAGGCCACCUACAGAUGAAAGGCCCUGGCUAUGCCAUGUCAUCACCACAAUCGGAGUUUCUCCAUCUGUAAAAUGGACUGUAAUGAGCAGCUUGUUCACAGAGCUCCUGAGAUGAAAGGGCCAGGAAGUGGCCGGCCGGAACCAGCCCUGUGCAGGGUGGCCUCCGCCCUGCCCUCCCUCUGCUGCUCCCUGGGCUCCGGUGCCCCUGAGUGGCCAAAGAGGAGGACGGAGGGGCCUGAGCUGGACAGAGCAGGGGUGCUCCUGUGGACUUGCUUCCCUGCCAGAGUUCAUCUGAAGGCAAGGUUCCCAUGGGUUCCACAUGCUCACAAACAGCUGUUUUCUGCUGGGGGAGUAAAUGGGAAAAGGCUCUCCUGGUGUCUUAGCUGUGUGACCUUGGGCAAGCAGCUUCCCAUCUCUGUGCUGUUUUUCUGAACAGUAAAGGGUGAAAAAUACUGCCUCCAA